Molecule: ribosomal RNA, 461 nt
Filed under: Phoma sp. T5N22c(A)
Lineage: Eukaryota; Fungi; Ascomycota; Dothideomycetes; Pleosporales; Didymellaceae
Description: eukaryotic LSU rRNA
Rfam family: 5.8S ribosomal RNA (bases 144-297)
Source: RNAcentral
CAUUACCUAGAGUUGUGGGCUUUGCCUGCUAUCUCUUACCCAUGUCUUUUGAGUACUUACGUUUCCUCGGUGGGUUCGCCCGCCGAUUGGACAAUUUAAACCCUUUGCAGUUGCAAUCAGCGUCUGAAAAACAUAAUAGUUACAACUUUCAACAACGGAUCUCUUGGUUCUGGCAUCGAUGAAGAACGCAGCGAAAUGCGAUAAGUAGUGUGAAUUGCAGAAUUCAGUGAAUCAUCGAAUCUUUGAACGCACAUUGCGCCCCUUGGUAUUCCAUGGGGCAUGCCUGUUCGAGCGUCAUUUGUACCUUCAAGCUUUGCUUGGUGUUGGGUGUUUGUCUCGCCUUUGCGUGUAGACUCGCCUUAAAACAAUUGGCAGCCGGCGUAUUGAUUUCGGAGCGCAGUACAUCUCGCGCUUUGCACUCAUAACGACGACGUCCAAAAGUACUUUUUUACACUCUUGAC